CUCUUCCGGCUGCAAACUGUAAACACGUCUUCCUCGUCACUGUCCGACAAGUCUACAUAUCUGAAAAUGUAUAAAGCAAAAUGAAAAGUAUUCUAAAACCAACACAGUUGAACGGUCUAAAUGUACAUGCUUACAAAUUAACUUGACCGGUCAGGAUUAAAUAAUAGUUUAAGUAAUUAUAUGAAAGGAAGGGGUGGAAGAGAGGGAUUACUUACAUCUCGCUGGACUUGGGUGAUUCGGCGUCCGACUCCAUGUUCACUACUCACACAAAUAUUUAUGAGAUCUGAUUUUCGAGUAAUAAUUUUUAUUUUCUGGAGCAGUUUUCUUGUCGACUGAAUCCUUCGGGAAACAAACUCAGAAUGAUUGAACGUUUAUCACUUGUCGAUGCUCUACUUACUCCACAGCCAAGACAAGUUUGAUCUUGAUUACUCGAAACGGCGGCAGUCAAGCCGCAUGAGUCAGUCCAGAGGUCUCAAAAAAAUCAUUGAGUUUGAGCCCGCUCAUUUCAAAUUCAGCAGUUGUUUUAUUAUAUCCUGACUGACGUUAAAACAAUUACUUUUCUCUCUUUUUAUAAUUGCAAAAAUAAAAAUUUUAAAAAAAUUCGGUGUUAACAUUUGCACCGGUGACCGAUGUCGGUCCCUCGUCAUCAACCAUUGUGUUCCAAGUGCUUCAAACUGAAUCGUAAGUAUUUCUUUUUAAAUUUUUUUUAUUGGACAUCACAUAUUAAUAGUUUCUUAUUUUCAUAUACAAAAUAUAACUGCCCCGAAGGUCGACAAUUAAUCAAUCUCGACCCCCAACACUUAGUGAGAUCAUCUGUUCAUAUGUUUUACAAUUGUGGGAAGACGGGCACAAAAGGGAACAUUGUCCACUCCCCCCCAAACCCCUCAGAAUUCCAAAGUGCUCUGAGAAGGAAGGGAGUCGAGGCUAAGCGGCGUGCUGGGGUCAAUCCUGGAUUCAAAAUGGGUGGGGUGUGGGAAAAUAAAAUGGUGCAACGCCAACAGUGGCAAGUAGAAGGACGUAAUAUUCCAGUGAGAACAUAUAUUUAUGUAAGCAUGGAUUUUUGAACCGGUUCAAAUAUAUUUUGUAUUAGAUUUGUCUGAUCGAGAAAGAGUUGAUGUCAAUAAAAUCUUCACUUUUUUGCUAACUAAAUACUCCAAUCAAAAUCUACCAUUUUCCAUCUGUUGCGUUUUAACAAGCGCUAUUUUUACGCCAAAGGCUAUACAAAAUGGUAUUAACUCGUGUUUCAUGACCACUCUUAAGGCCCUUGACAAAGGCCAAGGCAUACUGGCAUAAAGUCUACGCAUCUUCUUUCUUCCAUCACAACCGGGUUGACAUAUGGAUGGGCUAGUCUUUCUUCUUUUCAAUUUUUUCACUCAUUAUUAUUCACGAUUCGUUGUUCUAUGAGAGAACAUGUGUCCGAUUUGAUUCGAUACAUCGUAAAAAUGUAGGCACUUCCUUCCUUUGAAACCAAGAGUUGUAAUUGGUUUCUUAACAAACACCGUCUAAUCCACCAUUUCAUGAUGCGAUGCAACUCUGUAGAAUCGUUUUAGGCUGUUGACUCUCGGUGGGAAAAGUAACUAGUAUUUACCUAAGCUAUGGUUGCAUCUUCAUUUUCAACACACAGUUACAUCUCUAUUUGCAUUUUAAAAUUGCACAUGAUCCAACCAACCCAGCAAGAUUUAAUUGUUAAGGGCGAGUUGUUCAGCACGUACUCGCACAAUGAUUGGCAAUAAACUUGUAUGUAACAGAAGAAAUUGAAUUAAAAUCGAGAUUUAAUGAAGCAUAUCAAUUUUCCAUUUGAUAUUUCAAUUUACCAUUCGAAAUUUUAAUUUACAAUUCAAAUUAUGUUGUAAUUGCAAACAUUACUUUGUCUUAUCUAGGCAUAACCGUACUAAAAAAGUAAAAUUCUUACCAGAAUCUCACCUUGCCUCGAGGAGCUGAUAUUAAUUUGUACUGCAACUAUGCUGAAAAAAAAUAAAAGAUAAUGGAAUUUUGUACAAGAAUCUAACUGCAAUAAGCUGCAUUUCCACAAAAAAUUCUACCCGAGUGUUACGUUAUCUCACCAAUCUUAUUUACUUAAUCGGUUAAAUUACAUCCAUACGAAAUGCAUGUGUGUAUGAGUUGAAGAUGUUGUUUGAUAAAUAAUUACUUAUAAACUCAAUUGCCUGUCAUGCCUCGGUUUGCCUGCCCAAUCCAAUUUUUAUACGGACUCUCUUAUAAUCUAGUUAAUAUUCUGUAAAGUUAGAAAUACUGAGUCUCCUUCCACCAUAUCGAUUUCAACGUUACGCUAAUCCUUUAUAUCAAUAUCACAUCGAUUCACUUCACUCAUCAGAAUACGUAAGAAGCAUAAGAAAAGAAGACCAGCCUGUACUAACUGCAUCAACAAAUCAACUCAACUACCUUCUUUACUUUACUUUACUUAUGGCCAUGGAAAAACUCGUUGUCUCUAAGCUUAAUCUCGAUUCUGGAUUGUAUUACUACUGAAAUUGAACCUAGCAAUUUACCUGA
This is a long non-coding RNA of Folsomia candida, 2508 nucleotides long. RefSeq lists it as uncharacterized. Lineage: Eukaryota; Metazoa; Arthropoda; Collembola; Entomobryomorpha; Isotomidae. The record is from RefSeq and is a predicted model, not a curated record. The transcript has 2 exons.